AUGGCAUACAAGAAGUUGAGCGACUUAACUACAAGAGGACAUAAUUGGAAUAUUCAAGUGAAAGUAAUGAGAAUGUGGGAUUCAGUGAAUCCUACCACCGAUGAGCUUAUUAGCAUAGAUAUGAUACUGAUGGAUGAGCAGGUAAAGGAAAUAAAAGGAUCUUUGAAAGUUCUCCCAAAUUAUUGCUUCGAGUUUGCUACCAUGGACACACUAGAAGAAAGGGCCGAAAAAGAUACACAAUGCUCAGAUGUCAUUGGACUACUAACUCAAAUGAAUCCAGUGGAGACAAGAAUAACAAAAAGGAACCCACAACCUUCAUAUAUCCGUGAGAUUGAAAUCCUAAUGCCAGAGGGUGAUAAAAUCAGAAUCACGCUGUGGAGAAAGUUUGCUUAUUUUCUGACCGAGGAUGUAAUCGGCAGACAAAUUGUCCUUAUUAUCGCAUCAACAUUGGUGCAGAGAUUCAAUGGUUUGUGCCUAAAGUCAACGAGUGCCACAAUAUAUAUUGAUCUAGAUAUACCGGAAACACAAGAACUUCUUGAUAGGGACUCAACAGAAAAAACCUUACCAAGGAUGAUCAGUAUAGAUAAAAUAAAAAGGACAUUUAUGCCCGAUGAUAGGCUUGAGAUGCUCUAUUUGGACAAUAAAGCCGAGGAGGAAUUGAUGGAUGAUGAGGUGGACAUCGUGUUAAUGAAGAAGCAAAACAUGCCAGAUACAAAGGUGCCUGUGAAAGAGGAGCCACAUGACAGCACUAGGACUACAUUUAACAAAGAUAAGCGUCAAGACAAAAUAUCAUCGUCAUCACGUGAGCUCCGCAGUGGCACUAAAAGGAGACUGUGA
This 837-nucleotide ribosomal RNA is filed under the name Triticum aestivum (bread wheat). RNAcentral describes it as "partial small subunit ribosomal RNA". The record is from RNAcentral. Lineage: Eukaryota; Viridiplantae; Streptophyta; Magnoliopsida; Poales; Poaceae.